RNAcentral lists this non-coding RNA (26 nucleotides) under Gallus gallus (chicken). Lineage: Eukaryota; Metazoa; Chordata; Aves; Galliformes; Phasianidae. The record is from miRBase by way of RNAcentral.
UUUAGUAGUUGAUAGGUGUGUUUGGA